GACGAACGCUGGCGGCGUGCCUAAUACAUGCAAGUAGAACGCUGAAGGAGGAGCUUGCUUCUCUGGAUGAGUUGCGAACGGGUGAGUAACGCGUAGGUAACCUGCCUGGUAGCGGGGGAUAACUAUUGGAAACGAUAGCUAAUACCGCAUAAUAGCAGUUGUUGCAUGACAACUGUUUGAAAGGUGCACUUGCACCACUACCAGAUGGACCUGCGUUGUAUUAGCUAGUUGGUGGGGUAACGGCUCACCAAGGCGACGAUACAUAGCCGACCUGAGAGGGUGAUCGGCCACACUGGGACUGAGACACGGCCCAGACUCCUACGGGAGGCAGCAGUAGGGAAUCUUCGGCAAUGGACGGAAGUCUGACCGAGCAACGCCGCGUGAGUGAAGAAGGUUUUCGGAUCGUAAAGCUCUGUUGUAAGAGAAGAACGAGUGUGAGAGUGGAAAGUUCACACUGUGACGGUAUCUUACCAGAAAGGGACGGCUAACUACGUG
Molecule: ribosomal RNA, 495 nt
Filed under: uncultured bacterium
Lineage: Bacteria
Description: partial 16S ribosomal RNA
Rfam family: Bacterial small subunit ribosomal RNA
Source: RNAcentral